RNAcentral lists this ribosomal RNA (743 nucleotides) under Galdieria sulphuraria. RNAcentral's name for it is "bacterial SSU rRNA". It matches the Rfam family "Eukaryotic small subunit ribosomal RNA", at positions 904 to 1660 of the family's 1831-position model. Lineage: Eukaryota; Rhodophyta; Bangiophyceae; Galdieriales; Galdieriaceae. The record is from RNAcentral.
GUCAGAGGUGAAAUUCUUGGAUUUUUGGAAGACGAUCGGAUGCGAAAGCGUUUGGCAAGGAUAUACCCAUUGAUCAAGGACGAAAGUUAGGGGAUCGAAGACGAUUAGAUACCGUCGUAGUCUUAACCAUAAACGUUGCCACCUAAGAGAUGGUGUACUGAAUUGAAUCGUACAUCCUUUUUUUCCGGGAAACCAAAGUUUUUGGGUUCUGGGGGGAGUAUGGUCGCAAGUCUGAAACUUAAAGGAAUUGACGGAAGGGCACCACCAGGAGUGGAGCCUGCGGCUUAAUUUGACUCAACACGGGGCAACUUACCAGGUCCGGACAUUUUUAUGAUUGACAGAUUGAUAGCUCUUUCAAGAUUGAAUGGGUGGUGGUGCAUGGCCGUUCUUAGUUGGUGGAGUGAUUUGUCUGGUUAAUUCCGUUAACGAACGAGACCUUUUCCUUCUAACUAGUAUGAUUGCAAUCGAGAUAGUUUGCGAUUGACUUCUUAGAGGCACUAUUCGUUUUUCACGGAUGGAAGAUAUAGGCAAUAACAGGUCUGUGAUGCCCUUUGAUGUCCUGGGCUGCACGCGGGCUACACUGAUGCACUCACUGAGUGAAUUGAUACCUUUUCUGAUAAGAACGUUUGGGUAAUCUUUGAAUGUGCAUCGUGCUUGGGAUUGAGAACUGUAACUGUUUUCAUGAACGAGGAAUUCCUUGUAAACGCGAGUCAUCAACUUGCGUUGAUUACGUCCCUGCCCUU